AUGAGGAAACAGAAGCUCAUUGAAGGCAACUUGAAGGUGGAUCUACAUGUCCCUCCCCCACAUUAGACCACAAGAGGCUCAAAGAUAGGGAGAAAUGCACACUCAUGUUAAAGCUGCAUUAUUCACAACAGCCAAAAGGUGGAAGCAAGACAAUUAAUUCUCACAGAAACUCUUGGAGGUAGCUGCAAGAGCUGCUAGGGACCUCGAUUAGAGUUAUUACAUAUGGACCCUCAUGAAUCAGAGGAAGAACGAGGCCUGGAGUCAUGAAGGGGCUUAACUGAAGUCACAAGGCUCACGGCAGGACCAGUAUCAAAAUAGACCCCAAUGUGCGGCAGGCUCAUCAGUGGAAGUGACUUACCCUGUCUCAGAUGAGGCUUUGUACUGUGGACUUUCGAGUCCAGGGUAGGAGAUACUUCUCCAGGCUCUCACUUAUGGGGGCUUUCCUGCUGGCUACAUCACUGAAAUGGAAUCUCCUAGUGGCCCUUCUCCCUCUACAGCUCUGGUGUUACACUGAAAAACUAGAAGUUUCAAAACAGACAAGGGAAAAAGAGAAACAUCAGAAAGUCUGAUUAAAGUAGAAGCAUCAUAUUUCUAUCAACGUAUCCACUGUGCUUGGACACAAUUGCAGGCCCUUGACAUCUUUUGCCUGGAUUAUUGCAACAGCCUCCAAAAGGACUCGUCUGUCUCCAUGAUACCCCUCCAUCCUCCUCUGCAUCAUCACCAAGGGAAUCUUUGUAAAGCAAAGGCAUGAUCAUGCUUAUCACCUGGUGGAAACCCUUCAGAGACUCUCCACUCCCCAGAGCAGGCACCACAUCGUU
Molecule: long non-coding RNA, 818 nt
Filed under: Homo sapiens (human)
Lineage: Eukaryota; Metazoa; Chordata; Mammalia; Primates; Hominidae
Description: PREDICTED lncRNA (TCONS_00004550)
Source: RNAcentral